Molecule: ribosomal RNA, 253 nt
Filed under: uncultured bacterium
Lineage: Bacteria
Description: partial 16S ribosomal RNA
Rfam family: Bacterial small subunit ribosomal RNA
Source: RNAcentral
UACGAAGGGUGCAAGCGUUACUCGGAAUUACUGGGCGUAAAGCGUGCGUAGGUGGUUCGUUAAGUCCGAUGUGAAAGCCCUGGGCUCAACCUGGGAAUGGCAUUGGAUACUGGCGGGCUAGAGUGCGGUAGAGGGCAGUGGAAUUCCCGGUGUAGCAGUGAAAUGCGUAGAUAUCGGGAGGAACAUCUGUGGCGAAGGCGACUGCCUGGACCAGCACUGACACUGAGGCACGAAAGCGUGGGGAGCAAACAGG